This 1172-nucleotide long non-coding RNA is filed under the name Cicer arietinum (chickpea). RNAcentral describes it as "long non-coding RNA (CARI_LNC003526)". Lineage: Eukaryota; Viridiplantae; Streptophyta; Magnoliopsida; Fabales; Fabaceae. The record is from RNAcentral.
UCAGUUUCUACUAAAACCCAGUAAGGUCAUUUUAUGUUUGUUAAGUUACAAGCCUUUGCCCUUACAAUGACUCUAAUUGAGAUGCUUGAGUUCUUCAAUGCUUUAAUUUUUAACUUUCUCUAUUGGUGAAAGCUUACAUGCCAAAAUUUUGCAAACAUUCAAAUUGGAAAAUACAGACAGCCCCAUUUCUAUGUUUCAUAAGCAUAGGUCCCCAACUCCCCCAUGACAAAUUUAGAUUAAUUGAAAUUCAAUUAACUCUAACAGGUAAACAGAGUAUUUGACAAACUUUAGAUCUUAGCAGGUAAACAGAGUAUUUGCAGUGACUUUAGUUGCCCCAUCUUUCCUUAUGCAUCUUCCCUGUAGUAUUUAAUAAGCAAACUUCAAAACUGGGCAUGUUUUUCCAGCCAAUGAAACAAAGUAAAAGGUCUAAUACAAUAUGAUAUGACAAGUGCCUAAUCAUGGAUGUUGUUAGUUUGAGGUUGAGAUUGAUGUUGUAAGAAGGAGAAACCAUUCAUAAUCAUAUCAAAUUUUUAACAUCCUUUUCGCUAAUUUCAUAUUCAUAUCAAUCUUUAAACACCUUAUUAACAAACAUAUGACAAAUAAAAAAGAACCAACCUCAGGCGCAUAACAUCAAACACUUAAUACCCACUCUUUCACCUGACCAAACUCCGAUUCUCAAAAUGAUGCCGGUUUUCAAAACCCCAUUCAACGGUUACUCCAUCAAGUUCAGUCCAUUCUACGAAAACCCCAUAGCUGUCGCCACCGCUUAACCCCGUCUGCCGUGACUCUUUCCUCUCCGGUUCAUGGGAUGACACCGUCAAAUUAUAAACUCUCGAUCGUCCCAUUUCCGUUCGCACUUUCAAAGAACACGCUUACUGUGUCUAUUCCUCCGUUUGGAACCCUCGUCACGCCGAUGUGUUCGCUUCCUCUUCCGGUGAUUGCACUAUCCACAAAUCAAGUGCAGCUUCAUGAGCUCCACUGCUCAUACUACCGCAUGCAAGCUCACUGUAAUUUUCUAAUCAACAUGGCUAGGAUUCUAUUGCUCGAUUAGGGUUUGACUGGGAUUCUAUGAUAGGAGUGAAAUGACGGUAGAAGUAGAAGAGAUUUUAAUUUGGGUAAAAAUGAAAAGCAUACAGAUUUUGAUUUGGGAAAUGAGAAGUUAAAUGAAAAAG